GAUGAACGCUGGCGGCGUGCCUAAUACAUGCAAGUCGAGCGAACAGAUGAGGAGCUUGCUCCUCUGACGUUAGCGGCGGACGGGUGAGUAACACGUGGAUAACCUACCUAUAAGACUGGGAUAACUUCGGGAAACCGGAGCUAAUACCGGAUAAUAUAUUGAACCGCAUGGUUCAAUAGUGAAAGACGGUUUUGCUGUCACUUAUAGAUGGAUCCGCGCCGCAUUAGCUAGUUGGUAAGGUAACGGCUUACCAAGGCAACGAUGCGUAGCCGACCUGAGAGGGUGAACGGCCACACUGGAACUGAGACACGGUCCAGACUCCUACGGGAGGCAGCAGUAGGGAAUCUUCCGCAAUGGGCGAAAGCCUGACGGAGCAACGCCGCGUGAGUGAUGAAGGUCUUCGGAUCGUAAAACUCUGUUAUUAGGGAAGAACAAAUGUGUAAGUAACUAUGCACGUCUUGACGGUACCUAAUCAGAAAGCAACGGCUAACUACGUG
Molecule: ribosomal RNA, 497 nt
Filed under: uncultured bacterium
Lineage: Bacteria
Description: partial 16S ribosomal RNA
Rfam family: Bacterial small subunit ribosomal RNA
Source: RNAcentral